GGGGGAAUAUUGCACAAUGGGGGAAACCCUGAUGCAGCGACGCCGCGUGAGCGAUGAAGUAUUUCGGUAUGUAAAGCUCUAUCAGCAGGGAAGAAAAAAGACGGUACCUGACUAAGAAGCACCGGCUAAAUACGUGCCAGCAGCCGCGGUAAUACGUAUGGUGCAAGCGUUAUCCGGAUUUACUGGGUGUAAAGGGAGCGUAGACGGUCUGGCAAGUCUGAUGUGAAACCCGGGGCUCAACCCCGGGACUGCAUUGGAAACUGUUAGACUAGAGUGUCGGAGAGGUAAGUGGAAUUCCUAGUGUAGCGGUGAAAUGCGUAGAUAUUAGGAGGAACACCAGUGGCGAAGGCGGCUUACUGGACGAUGACUGACGUUGAGGCUCGAAAGCGUGGGGAGCAAACA
RNAcentral lists this ribosomal RNA (402 nucleotides) under uncultured Clostridium sp. RNAcentral's name for it is "bacterial SSU rRNA". It matches the Rfam family "Bacterial small subunit ribosomal RNA", at positions 355 to 774 of the family's 1533-position model. The record is from RNAcentral. Lineage: Bacteria; Bacillati; Bacillota; Clostridia; Eubacteriales; Clostridiaceae.